UUAUAGGUGAGAAUGUUACUGUUGCAUCAGAAACAUCGAAACCAGCUCUGUGUGAUAAUUCAGUGGUGUGUGAACCAACACUGCAUGGAAACAGCACUAACAUGAACACACAGGAGAAAACAGUGCUCGUUUUGGGAACGGCUUUGGGUUUGUGUGCACUUCUGAUUUUCUGCCUCACUUAUUUCAUACUGAGGAGAAGAAAAUGUGAUAAAAAAGAUUUUCCAGGAACAAGGCAGGAAUCUAAUUUUGACAGCUUGACUUAUGAAGCUUCCCAAUUGUUGAAGAAGAACGUCAAACCUGGAGGAAGGGAUGAUUUGAUGUACUCUAAUGUGAUGUAUGUGAAAGUGUAAUAUAUAACAUAAAUGACCCUGAACACAUUAUUAUAAGCUGAACUGCUGCCAUACAAAAGGGCUUUCACCUAUCUAGAUAUGUUUAGGCCAGUGACAGCUUCCUUUAUUAUUAUUAUUAUUAUUAUUAUUAUUAUUAUUAUUAUUAUUAUUGUUGUAUAAAGGAAUAUAUGUAAAAUAUAUGCAAUACAUCUGAGUGUAUAUUGUAUCUGUCUAUGUUCUCAUUGCUCUGUGUUCUACAGUGCAUCUCUCAAACAUUGUUUAUAAAAAUAAAUGUCAUUCUUUUACCUGAA
RNA transcript from Pangasianodon hypophthalmus (striped catfish), 640 nucleotides. RefSeq lists it as uncharacterized. The transcript is spliced from 4 exons. NCBI's taxonomy places the organism in Eukaryota, Metazoa, Chordata, Actinopteri, Siluriformes, Pangasiidae. The record is from RefSeq and is a predicted model, not a curated record.